Solenopsis invicta (red fire ant) is the source of this 2111-nucleotide long non-coding RNA. RefSeq lists it as uncharacterized. Lineage: Eukaryota; Metazoa; Arthropoda; Insecta; Hymenoptera; Formicidae. The transcript has 2 exons. The record is from RefSeq and is a predicted model, not a curated record.
GCAGAACACACUCUCGAAUCCGGUCUGUCGGCUCGAGUUACACCCACCUGUACUUUCUGCGUCUAAAGCGAAAUGAAGGUGCACUUGAAUUUCAAAGGAGAAAGAAAUGAACAUGAAAAAUGCAAUCAGAACGAAUAUAUGUAUUCUAUAUAAAAAGAAAGCUUUUCUCCCUUUCAAUAGUAUACUGUACACUGUACCUUUGUGCAGCAACUGUUGCAUCGUGAAUAGUUCGUUUCCCUCCUCCUUCCCUUUCUCAAAAAAAGGCUACGGUCUAUUUUUAAUUGCUUUCAGUUACCGAGCAUUAGGUGCAAAGUUUUACAAUAAAAUGCGUAAAAAUGACAUUUCUACUCACCAAUAAUAUUCGCGCGCGCGACCUGCCUCGUUAGGUUAAGUUUAGAGGUUAUGACAGAUUAUCUCGCUUCGUUUCGGAAUCAACGCGACCGUUUUUCUAUCGUGCGACUAGAGUGCAACGUAAGUUCGUGCUAAACACCCGUGAGAGAAACUGGGAAGAUUGGCAUGAGAUUGUCUUAGCGGUAGCAGGAGCCACGACGAAACUCGACGCAAUCCACGCCGGACCGACGAGAGGAAGGACGGCGGAAAAACCUGCCGGCGGCGGGAGAGGCAGCACAGCACUCGACGCAAAUCGGAACCGGGAGCAAACCACUAACCGAACUCACUUUUCGACUUGGCCCGCACAUAGAAUCGAGACGAUUCAGAUUCUUUAGACUCUCUCGCCUGUUAAAACCACUGUGUCUUUGCCUACUGCAGUUCUCGUUCUCUCUCUCUCUCUCUCGCGUUCGCUCGCUCUUUCUCUUUAUAGUUCUCCCUUUCGCGAUACUAUUUCCAGAUGCACAAUUUUGUAUUCGAUACGUCGUAGACGAGACACAGCUAUUCUCUUAUCACGCGGAUAAUUUCGACAACGACGCGCUCGACGGAGAGAGAGUUAGUUUCGCGACCCGAGGGAAUGCCACAAGCCACCAGGAAACACCAAGAAUGUCACAGCGCAUCGCUUUCCUCGCUUUACGGGCGACAAUGUACGCGAAUGAACGUGAGCGGUCUCCUUCCCUCCCGCGCGAGACACGGAGAAAAAUGAUUCUCAGCUAUGAGCACAAACACUUGAAUUUAACGAGUACCUAUUUAGUAGCCGCGUUUCGACUCGUUUUCCCAUCCCCCUUCCCGGAAUUGUCAUUGCUAAAACGAUUGAUAUCACAGCACCAUGUAUUGUUGCACGAUAAACUUCACUUAACGGGGACAAACUUAACGGAAGAUCGCGCGAAUUUUAUUGCAAAACUCGUCAAGAUCGAAAGCAGUCUAAUUGGUUUUCUUUUCGGCCACAUGCAUGCAUCUUAAUUUCGACGAGUUGCGACGCCGACUCGACGUGAACGUCCGAUAUCUUACUGGCCCUAAAUCCGUCUGACAAGCCAUUUGAGUUUUUUUCCUUUACUUAUUAAUUUCCUCGGUUAUCGCGGAUAGAAGCAUUCAUUGGAGACAUCGCGUACAUCACUGUAACAUUCAACCGAGCUCCCGAGAAUGGUCGAAUUUGAUAGGUGAAAAACGGUACCAAGAAAAUUGACACAUUUUGUAAUUUUUUUCUCUCUACAUAAACUGCAUCUAUUUCUUUUCCGUUCGAACACUAAAUAUACUUAACCACUGCACCUUCAAUUCGCAUUCAAGUGUGGUGGAGACGCCCCUUCUUCACUCCUCCAACGUAUCUGAAUAGAAAUAUAAGAAUAUAUCCUUCAGACGCGCGUUCAGGUGACUCUCCGCCAUACCGGAAUGCGGAGCACAAUCACUUUUAUUUUUUUUUUUACAUUUUCACUAGACACAUGUUCAGAGCUCAUUUUCGUUUUAUUAUUGCCACCAAACACUGUCCUUUAGAAGAAGAAAAAUCGGUCCUCACUAAAAAAGGGGAUAAACUGUUGUCGACAUUAUGAAAACACAGAUGCGAUAAACUUAAUUUUUUUGCGGUAAACAAAUUUUCUGUCUCUUCUUGGAUUUGCUAUUUUUUUUUCUUUCCUCACUGUCUUCACUCUUGGGCACAGUCUAAACUUGAAAAACUUUGUCAUAACUAGCAUUCACGGAUUUUACUUACUGCACAAUCACUUAAAUGU